This 806-nucleotide ribosomal RNA is filed under the name uncultured Bacteroidota bacterium. RNAcentral describes it as "bacterial SSU rRNA". It matches the Rfam family "Bacterial small subunit ribosomal RNA", at positions 90 to 899 of the family's 1533-position model. Lineage: Bacteria; Pseudomonadati; Bacteroidota. The record is from RNAcentral.
AGAGACCGGCGCACGGGUGCGUAACGCGUAUGCAAUCUACCUUUCACAAAGGGAUAGCCCAGAGAAAUUUGGAUUAAUACCUUAUAGUAUAGCGACUUCGCAUGGAGAUGUUAUUAAAGAUUUAUCGGUGAAAGAUGAGCAUGCGUCCCAUUAGCUAGUUGGUAAGGUAACGGCUUACCAAGGCUACGAUGGGUAGGGGUCCUGAGAGGGAGAUCCCCCACACUGGUACUGAGACACGGACCAGACUCCUACGGGAGGCAGCAGUGAGGAAUAUUGGUCAAUGGGCGCAAGCCUGAACCAGCCAUGCCGCGUGCAGGAUGAAGGUCCUAUGGAUUGUAAACUGCUUUUGUACAGGAAGAAACACUCGGACGUGUCCGAGCUUGACGGUACUGUAAGAAUAAGGAUCGGCUAACUCCGUGCCAGCAGCCGCGGUAAUACGGAGGAUCCAAGCGUUAUCCGGAAUCAUUGGGUUUAAAGGGUCCGUAGGCGGCUUAAUAAGUCAGUGGUGAAAUCCCUACGCUUAACGUAGGAACGGCCAUUGGUACUGUUAGGCUUGAAUUAUUAGGAAGUAACUAGAAUAUGUAGUGUAGCGGUGAAAUGCUUAGAGAUUACAUGGAAUACCAAUUGCGAAGGCAGGUUACUACUAAUUGAUUGACGCUGAUGGACGAAAGCGUGGGUAGCGAACAGGAUUAGAUACCCUGGUAGUCCACGCCGUAAACGAUGGAUACUAGCUGUUGGGAGCAAUCUCAGUGGCUAAGCGAAAGUGAUAAGUAUCCCACCUGGGGAGUACGUUCGCAAGAAUGAAA